Molecule: transfer RNA, 88 nt
Filed under: Eggerthella lenta
Lineage: Bacteria; Bacillati; Actinomycetota; Coriobacteriia; Eggerthellales; Eggerthellaceae
Also listed under: 15 other names
Description: tRNA-Ser
Rfam family: tRNA
About the family: Transfer RNA (tRNA) molecules are approximately 80 nucleotides in length. Their secondary structure includes four short double-helical elements and three loops (D, anti-codon, and T loops).
Source: RNAcentral
GGAGGCGUGGCCGAGUGGUUGAAGGCGGCAGUCUUGAAAACUGUUAAGCCGCAAGGCUUCGUGGGUUCAAAUCCUACCGCCUCCGCCA